Molecule: RNA transcript, 3896 nt
Organism: Triticum aestivum (bread wheat)
Lineage: Eukaryota; Viridiplantae; Streptophyta; Magnoliopsida; Poales; Poaceae
Gene name: gamma-tubulin complex component 3
Exons: 8
Source: RefSeq, a predicted model, not a curated record
CUCUCUUCUCCUUUCUUUUCCCUCCUAAAAAAAACCCAAAUCGACAGAGAGACGCCAUGGCGAUUCAGUUCUAGCUAGCUAGGUCUUCCUCCCGAUUCCCCUUCCCUCUCGGCCGGCUUGGACUGCCGCGCCAGCUGCUCGCCGCCGCGUCUGACCCGCGUGCCGCCGCCGGCCCCUUCCCGCGCCGCACCCGAGAGAACCCUAGCGCCCACUUCCUCCCCGAUGGACGAGCACCAGGCCGGGGAUCUCGUCAAGGAGCUCGUCCUCCGCCUCGUCCCCGCCGACUCCGGCGGCGCGCUGCGGUUCGCGCACCGGCUGCUCUCCAGCCGCCUCGCCCCGGCCGUCCUCCCCGACGAGCACGCGCUGGCGGAGUCCGUCAAGCGCCGCCUCGCCGCCUCCGGCCGCCCCGACGACGCGCUCGCCUUCGCCGAACUCCACUCCAAGCUCUCCGCCCGGUCCCGCCCCGCCUCCCUCUGGCCGCUCCUCUACCUGCUCGAUUCGCUCUCCUCCCACCGCCGCGGGGCCGCCUCCUGCCUCCCCGACCUCCCCACCGCCGCGCCGCCGAGGCAGGCCUCGCGGGCGCCCGGCACGCCGGCCGGCGGCGUGGCGCUCGUCUCCAAGGACCCGGACAACAUCCGCGAGAUCGCGCUGCGGGAGUACACCGAGCUGGUGCUCGACGAGACGGAGGUGUCAGAGGCCACGCUGGUGCGCGACGUGCUCUACGCCUGCCAGGGCAUCGACGGACGCUACGUUCGGUACGACAAGGCCAGCGACACCUACGACCUGCCCGCCGGAGUCCACGUGCCCAGCUCCACUCGCACCCUGGUACGCAAGCUGUGCGAGGUCGGCUGGCUGUUCCGCAAGGUGCGAGGCUUCGUUUCCGACAAUGUGAGCCGCUUGCCCUCUCAUGCCGCCGCCGAGGUCGGCACUGUUGCUCAGGCCUUCUGCUCAGCUCUACAGGAGGAACUGUCUGAUUACUAUAAGCUGCUUGCAGUUCUAGAGUCGUACUCGUUGAACCCGAUCCCAACACCUGGGUCUGAUUCGGGUGUGUCAGGUAAUUACCUCUCGCUGCGGCGUCUUGUUGUGUGGCUUGCUGAGCCUGCGGUGAAAAUGCGCUUGAUGGCUGUCUUGGUGGAUGGAUGCCGUGGUUUGAGAGGUGGUGGAAUGGCUGGUGCGAUCCACGGGCACGCACAGCAUGGGGAUCCCAUGGUUCAAGACUUCAUGGGCCGCUUGCUGCGGCGAGUCUGCUCACCACUCUUUGAAAUGGUCCGAAGCUGGGUGCUUGAAGGUGAAUUGGAGGAUGUAUUUGGCGAGUUCUUCAUUGUUGGGCAGCCAGUUAAGGCUGAAUCUUUGUGGCGGGAGGGCUACCUUAUUCAGUCUGAUAUGCUACCGAGUUUCAUUUCUCCGGUGCUGGCACAAAGGAUCCUUAGAACAGGGAAGUCAAUCAACUUUCUCAGAGUUUGCUGUGAUGAUAAUGGUUGGGCUGAGGCUGCCACUGAGGCUGCAGCCUAUGUUGGCACCACAACAAGUCGAGGUGGGCUUGGUUAUGGGCAGAUUGAUGCUUUGGAGGCAUUGGUGGUAGAAGCAGCCAAGAGGAUUGAUCAACGUUUGAUGGACGUGAUUCAUAAGCGAUACCGAUUUAAAGACCAUUGUCUUGCUAUCAAGAGGUAUUUGCUUCUUGGGCAGGGUGAUUUUGUUCAGUAUCUGAUGGAUGUUGUUGGUCCUGAGUUGUCAGAACCAGCCAAUAGAAUUAGCCCCUUCCACCUUGCUGGCUUGCUUGAAACUGCAAUACGUGCAUCUGACGCACAAUAUGAUGACCGUGACAUCUUGGACCGGAUAAAAGUAAAGAUGAUGGAUCACGGAGAUGGUGAUGUUGGCUGGGAUGUCUUCUCCUUGGAGUAUGAUGCUAGGGUCCCUCUGGACACGGUGUUCACAGCUUCAGUCAUGAAGAUGUACCUCAAGAUAUUCAACUUCCUAUGGAAGCUUAAGCGUGUUGACCAUUCUCUGACCGGAGUCUGGAAGACAAUGAAGCCUAAUUGCAUUGUUUCUUCUCCAUUUUACAAGGAAGGGACAAGCAUCAGGGCUCAGUUUGUUUCAGUUCUUCGGAAAUGCCAAGUUCUGUUUAAUGAAAUGAACCAUUUUGUGACCAACUUCCAGUACUACAUUAUGUUUGAGGUCCUAGAGGUUUCCUGGGCUCGUUUUUCAGAAGAAAUGGAUGCAGCAAAAGAUUUAGACGAUCUUCUCAUGGGACAUGAUAAGUAUCUCACUUCAAUUGUGGAGAAGUCUCUCCUGGGUGAGCGGUCCCUGGGAAUUUUGAGAAAUCUUUUUGCCUUGUUUGACAUCAUAUUACAGUUCCGCAGCCAUGCUGAUAGGUGGUUUGAACGGAUAUACGAGUUGCAACUAAGGGGAAAGAGUAAACCGAAAACAAAAUCCAAGGAAACAGGUUCAUGGCUGGAGGGGGGCAGAAAAGCCAUGAUUCAACUCGCAGGGGAACUAUUUCGGAAAAUGGGUGAAGAUUUGGAUAGCAUUGCGAAAGAUUAUACAGCUUCUCUCGACUCAUUUAUCUCCCAGUUGCCCCUGCAGCAACACGUUGAUUUGAAGUUCCUUCUCUUUCGUUUGGACUUCACUGAAUACUACAGCCGUGUUUCGUCCAACAAAUGAAAUGAGUGUGUGCUUCUAAUGCGGAAGAAAUAGGUGUUAGAUACACUUUUUGGUUGGGGCUCAUGAAAAAACUGAUGAAGCAACACUCUAAAAUCCAGGAUGUACAUGAACAGUUGAAAAGGAAGUUAUGAUCUCAAAGCUAAGCCUAAUGAUGAAAGUGUAUCAGUUAUGUCAUCUGACGCACAGAUUGUUGAUUGGCAAGGAAAUGAUUAUCUUUCUAAUUUCUAAAUAUAUACUCCCUCUGUCAGGAAAUACUUCCAUUUUUAUCCAUUUCUCCGAUAAGUAUUUUCGGAUGGAGUAUUUUGUUAGUACUACUCAAGUAUUGUAUGUUACUUCCUUUCUGAGAGUUGCUGUUUUCCUCACAUUUUGCAUGAAUCCCUUCCAACCAGUACAUGAAAUGGAGGAGCAUCUCAAGGGGAAAGUGAAAGAAAGGAAUCAAAUAAUAGCAGAUGAAAAUCAGAAGCUGCACGCAUUGAGGUGAACUGCAGUGCCUUGAACCUAGAGAAAAGAAAGUAGAGGCAAUGAUCGCUGAGGCUUCGAAUUUGUGUUCGGAAGCUGCUUCAGUAAGGACUGCUGCCACAGCAGAACAGCAGAAGAUUCACGCAAAAUUCAACAACAUUGUGAAGGCGUUCAACACCUACAUGGAUAGCGUUGGCCCUUUCCUCGAGCAAGUCUAGGAGAUUGGCAGGCCAGCAGCUGAGGAUUUCUGAUCGAAUGAUCCAGUUUGCUGUUUCCGAAUGUGGAGGCAACUGGCAGGGGAUGGAGCCUCUGUUCCCGACCCAUCUGCCGCCGUCACAACAAAAACCACGUCCAGAGCCAGUGCAAUGAGCAAGAAGUCGAGGGCUCGGAAAAGGACAUGAGCUGUGGUUCUUACCAGUGCAUGGAGGGAAAACCCAGUAAAUAUCUCUGUUUAUGUGGGCAUGGUGCUGUAGUGGUGCCUCUAGCUGCUAUUUAUGCGCUGGUUCGGUUCGGGGCUAGUUAUUGAUCGAGAUACGAUGGCUUUGUCGUCUUACCGAUACAAUUGGAACCUGACACUCUUCUUUCGUUGGGCAAAGUGAGGGAUUUAUGUCUAUACUUCAAACAUCAUCAUGCAUUAUAUUAGAACCAACUUCUGAAUUCCUGAAACUGAAUUUGGAACCACACAUAAUUUAUACUUCAUCACAUCCAGAAUGCUUGAUGCUAUUAUUUCUGGUAGGGAUGAAGUUUUCUCCAGCCACUUUUGGCAACAUUUCUUC